This 425-nucleotide ribosomal RNA is filed under the name uncultured bacterium. RNAcentral's name for it is "partial 16S ribosomal RNA". It matches the Rfam family "Bacterial small subunit ribosomal RNA", at positions 354 to 796 of the family's 1533-position model. The record is from RNAcentral.
GUUAGGAAUAUUGGACAAUGGGCGCAAGCCUGAUCCAGCCAUGCCGCGUGAGUGAUGAAGGCCUUCGGGUUGUAAAGCUCUUUAGUCCACGAAUAUAAUGACUGUAGUGGAAGAAUAAGCCCCGGCUAACUUCGUGCCAGCAGCCGCGGUAAUACGAAGGGGGCGAGCGUUAUUCGGAAUCACUGGGCGUAAAGCGUGCGUAGGCUGUUUUGUAAGUCAGAAGUGAAAGCCCAGGGCUUAACCCUGGAAUUGCUUUUGAAACUACAAGACUCGAAUUCGGGAGAGGAUAGCGGAAUUUCCAGUGUAGCAGUGAAAUGCGUAGAUAUUGGAAGGAACACCAGUGGCGUAAGCGGCUAUCUGGACGAGUAUUGACGCUGAGGCACGAAAGCGUGGGGAUCAAACAGGAUUAGAAACCCCGGUAGUCC